ACAGCAGUCGCCGCGGGAAUACGGAGGGUGCAAGCGUUAAUCGGAAUUACUGGGCGUAAAGCGCACGCAGGCGGUCUGACAAGUCAGAUGUGAAAUCCCCGGGCUUAACCUGGGAACUGCAUUUGAAACUGUCAGGCUGGAGUCUUGUAGAGGGGGGUGGAAUUCCAGGUGUAGCGGUGAAAUGCGUAGAGAUCUGGAGGAAUACCGGUGGCGAAGGCGGCCCCCUGGACAAAGACUGACGCUCAGGUGCGAAAGCGUGGGGAGCAAACAGGAUUAGAUACCCGAGUAGUCCCUGUCUCUUAUAC
RNAcentral lists this ribosomal RNA (305 nucleotides) under uncultured bacterium. RNAcentral describes it as "partial 16S ribosomal RNA". It matches the Rfam family "Bacterial small subunit ribosomal RNA", at positions 508 to 807 of the family's 1533-position model. The record is from RNAcentral.